Non-coding RNA from Camellia sinensis, 3602 nucleotides. NCBI's taxonomy places the organism in Eukaryota, Viridiplantae, Streptophyta, Magnoliopsida, Ericales, Theaceae. The record is from RefSeq and is a predicted model, not a curated record.
GAAACCGUUGCCGCCUCGCUUUCUCUCUCUUUCGCGCUAGAAAGUUCCCUCUUUGAAGUCAAUCUUAGACUGGUGUUUGUUGGCGAUCUAUUCUCGUAGCUUUGAUUAUUCAAACGAAAAUGGGUAGAAAGUUCUUCGUCGGCGGCAACUGGAAAUGCAAUGGAACGAUUGAGGAAGUGAAGAAGAUUGUUACCAUUUUAAAUGAAGCUGAAGUUCCUUCUGAAGAUGUUGUGGAGGUUGUGAUUAGCCCUCCAUUUGUGUUUCUUCCUAUUGUAAAGAGUUUAUUGCGGUCUGAUUUCCUGAUUGCCGCACAAAACUGUUGGGUUCAGAAUGGGGGUGCUUUUACUGGUGAGGUUAGUGCUGAUAUGCUUGUCAAUUUGGGCAUUCCUUGGGUCAUUCUUGGCCAUUCUGAGAGACGACUUAUAUUAAAUGAAUCGAAUGAGUUCGUUGGAGAUAAAGUUGCAUAUGCACUUUCAAAAGGCUUGAAAGUAAUUGCUUGUGUUGGGGAGACCAUUGAGCAGCGGGAAUCAGGGUCUACAAUGUCUGUAGUUGCUGCGCAAACAAAUGCAAUCGCAGAUAAACAUCACACUGGUCUAAUGUUGUUAUUGCUUACGAACCGGUCUGGGCCAUUGGAACCGGAAAGCAAAAGAGUUCUAUCACCAACUUGCUUCGAAUGAGUACAUAGCAACAGAUGUGUGUCUGAAUCUGUUAUACAUCACGUUUCACCAUGGCAAGUGUCAACUAGGCUACUAGAUGGGCCAUUACCUAGCUUUGCUUGUGCAAUUUGACACCUACAAGUAAAAAAACUUCAGGCUAGGAACAAGGAACCUUCCUCUAUACUGUUUACCAAUGUACUGAGGUCCAUUUUGAAUUGAGGAAUUGGCUUCAAGAAAAUGUUGGUGCUGAAGUUGCUGCAUCAACCCGAAUUAUCUAUGGGGGUAUUUCUCCAUUUUUGCCAUCAAUUUGUUUAUCCAAUGCUUGUUUCUGUUCUUUUGCUUUUUUAUCUAUGCUAUUAUAUAAUGUCAACACCCCAAUUAGGGGUGAACAUUUUUUUUAAGCUUUGUCACAUGUUUUACAUGCCUAAACUACUCACAGGAAUAACGUGUUGUUCCUUCUCUUCUUUUUAUGAUAAAUGUAAAGCAGUAAAAUGUCUUUUUGAAAAAAACCAAUUCACACACAAUCGGAACAGUACACAACUAUUGAUUAGGUUAUGAAACUCUCAUUUUUUCUCUCUAUUUUGUUGGUAAAAUUGUAUAGCAUUUUAGUUUUAGAAGAAUUUAAAUAGUGAAUAACUGUAGAAUGAGGGAGUUAGUGGGAGAAUAGGGAUAAUUUAGUUAUAGUAAAAUGCAUACACUAGUGUCUGGGGGCACUUCUAGUAUAUACUAAAUGUAAACUAGCAAUUUUAUAUCAUCUAUUUUGGAGCAAGUUAAUUUACUAAUGGAAGGCCUUUUUCAAUAUCAAGAUGUUAGGAAAUAAGGUUGCAUAAGUCUUCCACCAAUCACGGAAAUAUGUUAAAGCACCUCCAACAGGCUAAGCUAGGCUGGGCUAACCUCCGUCUGAUUCAGCUUUCCAUCAAGGUAGCCAUUUUACCUCACCCCAUUCUCGCUCGCUACAUUUACUAAGGUUUUUUAAGGCUCUCUAAAAUGUACAGAAUUUGCCAAUGGCAAUAUUAAACUUGCGCUUCACCACUAUCUUCUCAAGAAUUCUUUUAUUGCUCACUAAAUCCCACUCUCGUUUCCUAUCACUUCGCCACACCAUCAUGCCAUGUUAGUUUACCUACUUUUUUAGGAUAUGGCAUGCCAUGUCAGGAUGUUGGUGUGGCAUCGCCACACACAUCAAUAUUCAUGUUAAUUUGUGCACAAAUACCAAAUUUUGAUUUUUUGCCAAGUAGCAUUUAUCUUUUUUAAAAUCUAGUUGUUAGUUCCAAUAGCUAGCUUAGAGAUCUGUUGGAGUACCUACAUGAUGAAAAAGUGGCUCUCUAUUUUAUAGUGUACUUUUGUAGCUAGCAGUGUUGGAGAUGCUCUUCCAUCUGUUGGCAUGAUUCAUGGUAGAAGUUCAUAACUGCCUUAUGAAUUGGUAGUAACUGUUGUUUUACCAUAAUGAUGCAACUUAGAGCCAAACCAUCCUGCCUUGGUGGUAGUGCUACAAACGAGCCGAGUCGAGCCGAUUUUUAUUGAGCUCGAGCUUGUUUAUUGAGCUUGAGUUGGGUUGAUAAGUAACUGGGCUCGAGCUCGGCUCGGCUUGGCUCGGCUCGUUAAUAUUAAUGAAACUUGAGUUGAGCUCUGUUCUGCUCGAUAAGAUUUUUUUUAACAUUAUUUAUAUUAUUUAAAUAAAAAAUAUUAUUUUUAUAUAUUUAUAUCUUAUUUAAUAUAUAAAUAAUAUAUUUAUUAUAUAAUUUAAAUAAAGAUAAACGGGUUGAGAUUAUUCGAGCUCGAGCUCGGCUCGUUUACUAAAUGAGCCGAGUCAAACUUGUUCAUGAACAACUCGGUUCAUUUGCAGCUCUACUAGGUGGCAAAAACAUUCAGAGGAAUUUAUUGUCUUUCAUUUAUUUCCUUAUUCAUUUAUAUUGUUUGAGGAACCAUCCCUCAGUGGGUGGUUGUUUAUAUAUGGGUUUAUGCUCUUGUUAUUGAGUCAAACAUGCAGAAAACUAAUUUGGUGGGGUGCAACUCCUUUAACUUGUUCAUGAAGGCACACUUCUUUUUUCUUCUUUUUUUCAUGGCUAAAUUAAUGGUCCUAAGAAACCAAUACAAAUCUAGUCAAUGUAAAUUGAGUUGAUUAGGAUUAGAUUUGCUUUUCGAAUGUGUAGUCUUCAUAAACAUGUUGCUCAGCCUGAAAGAAACCCUUUCGUGUGUGCACUAACAAUGGUUUGAUUCUUGGGGUUAGGAUGGUUCACUCUGGAACAUGCUUAAAAUUGAGUUGAGUUUAGUUGGUUUUUGAUAUUGAUAGUUGAAGCCUGGACUAUGGUCCUGUGAUAACAGUACUCAUCCAGGUUGAAUCGGGUUUGGUUUAUUGGGUGUCAGCUAAGUGAUGGAAGUUCCCAUCCAUAAAUUAAGGAUCCCAGACAUUAGGGUUCAGCGGGCAGUAUGUAUGCAAUAAUAAGUUGGCUAAUUCCACUGCCCUCCACAAUUCAAAAAACGAAGAAAGUGGUCUCUCUCUCUCUCUCUCUCUCUCUCUCGUGUUAAUCAUGUUAAUGUUCAGGUUCUGUGAAUGGAGCAAAUUGCAAGGAACUUGCUGCACAGCCAGAUGUGGAUGGAUUCUUGGUUUUUUUGUUUUAGAAGAUUCUCCUUGUCCCACUAGGUCUUGGAUUAACCAUUGUCGAAGGACUUUUAAAUCGCUCCAAUUCAUUAAACGAGGUUGUAUUUCCGUGUCAAAUAGUCUUGGUUCAAAGAUUUCAACGAUUUUAUUAUCGUUUGAUUUUGUUUUUGUUUCAGGAAAUUUGGUUAAUUCGUGAAUUGUUUUCCAACGAAUAGCCAAAUCAUGAGAAUUUGCUUGCAUUCCUAAUCCUUGUGCUUUAAUUCUUAUUCUAACUGUAUCUUCAAGAUUAGGAUCAUUUAUGGAAAUAAAGAAAUUUGGUCUAACAUUAAACCAAACUACUCCAUUAG